GUGUCGUGGUUGUUAGGGAACAUAGAUUUCUCAACAUUCUUUAUCUUCUUUGCAUCAACUUAGCCGAAAGUCAGUCGAGGAAUCUCUGCAAAUAAUUGAAAAGUGAAAGGUCCCACCCCAGCCUUCUUUUGAUUGAAAUUUUUUUCAUGCUUUUCUCUCGUAGAAUCCGCUUUAUUGGCACCUGGAUCGUGUCCUCAUCAUUUCUAAUGCUUUUAUUCUCCAUUCUCGGCCUUUCCUCCGUUACAAACAUCCAUCGAUCGAAGUCAAAUCUAAAUGUCCUCAUGCUUUUGCUUUUUGUCUGCGUAUGGGAUUCACGCUCCGGCUUCCGUCUAAUCUGCCAACUUUGUGAUGAUGUCAAUGAUUCACAUUAAAUAAUAAUAUUUUCACACAUUUUGGUAAAAAUUAUGAAUUUCUUAUAUCUUAAUCCAUCUCGAUCUCUCGAGGAUUUGGAAGUGCUGCUGGGGACCGGCUUGACUCAAGCAUA
This 484-nucleotide long non-coding RNA is filed under the name Phoenix dactylifera (date palm). Its description in RNAcentral is "long non-coding RNA (PDAC_LNC002271)". Lineage: Eukaryota; Viridiplantae; Streptophyta; Magnoliopsida; Arecales; Arecaceae. The record is from RNAcentral.